GACGAACGCUGGCGGCGUGCCUAACACAUGCAAGUCAACUUGACUGAAGGAGCAAUCUGACAGUAGAGUGGCGCAAGGGUGCGUAACGCGUAAGUAACUUGCCCAAGGUAAGGAAUAACGUCGAGAAAUCGGCGCUAAUACCUCAUAAUGCAGCGGAUCCGCAUGGAUAUGUUGUUAAAGGUUUACCGCCUUGGAUAGGCUUGCGUCUGAUUAGCUAGUUGGUGUGGUAACGGCACACCAAGGCUACGAUCAGUAACUGGUCUGAGAGGAUGAUCAGUCACACUGGAACUGAGACACGGUCCACGACUCCUACGGAGGCAGCAGUGAGGAAUAUUGGG
This 338-nucleotide ribosomal RNA is filed under the name uncultured bacterium. RNAcentral's name for it is "bacterial SSU rRNA". It matches the Rfam family "Bacterial small subunit ribosomal RNA", at positions 28 to 368 of the family's 1533-position model. The record is from RNAcentral.